AGAAGCUUGCUUCUUUGCUGACGAGUGGCGGACGGGUGAGUAAUGUCUGGGAAACUGCCUGAUGGAGGGGGAUAACUACUGGAAACGGUAGCUAAUACCGCAUAACGUCGCAAGACCAAAGAGGGGGACCUUCGGGCCUCUUGCCAUCGGAUGUGCCCAGAUGGGAUUAGCUAGUAGGUGGGGUAACGGCUCACCUAGGCGACGAUCCCUAGCUGGUCUGAGAGGAUGACCAGCCACACUGGAACUGAGACACGGUCCAGACUCCUACGGGAGGCAGCAGUGGGGAAUAUUGCACAAUGGGCGCAAGCCUGAUGCAGCCAUGCCGCGUGUAUGAAGAAGGCCUUCGGGUUGUAAAGUACUUUCAGCGGGGAGGAAGGGAGUAAAGUUAAUACCUUUGCUCAUUGACGUUACCCGCAGAAGAAGCACCGGCUAACUCCGUGCCAGCAGCCGCGGUAAUACGGAGGGUGCAAGCGUUAAUCGGAAUUACUGGGCGUAAGGCGCACGCAGGCGGUUUGUUAAGUCAGAUGUGAAAUCCCCGGGCUCAACCUGGGAACUGCAUCUGAUACUGGCAAGCUUGAGUCUCGUAGAGGGGGGUAGAAUUCCAGGUGUAGCGGUGAAAUGCGUAGAGAUCUGGAGGAAUACCGGUGGCGAAGGCGGCCCCCUGGACGAAGACUGACGCUCAGGUGCGACAGCGUGAGGAGCAAACAGGA
Molecule: ribosomal RNA, 710 nt
Filed under: uncultured bacterium
Lineage: Bacteria
Description: bacterial SSU rRNA
Rfam family: Bacterial small subunit ribosomal RNA
Source: RNAcentral